UAUCGGGUCCGACUAAGCCAUGCGAGUCAAGGGGCUCCCUUCGGGGAGCACCGGCGCACGGCUCAGUAACACGUGGCUAACCUACCCUCGGGUGGGGGAUAACCUCGGGAAACUGAGGCUAAUCCCCCAUAGGGGAGGAGGUCUGGAAUGAUCCCUCCCCGAAAGCGCCUCACGGCGCGCCCGAGGAUGGGGCUGCGGCGGAUUAGGUAGUUGGUGGGGUAACGGCCCACCAAGCCUACGAUCCGUACGGGCCCUGAGAGGGGGAGCCCGGAGAUGGACACUGAGACACGGGUCCAGGCCCUACGGGGCGCAGCAGGCGCGAAACCUCCGCAAUGCGCGAAAGCGCGACGGGGGGACCCCGAGUGCCAUCCCUCUGGGAUGGCUUUUCCGGAGUGUAAACAGCUCCGGGAAUAAGGGCUGGGCAAGUCCGGUGCCAGCAGCCGCGGUAAUACCGGCGGCCCAAGUGGUGGCCACUGUUAUUGGGCCUAAAGCGUCCGUAGCCGGCCCGGUAAGUCUCUGCUUAAAUCCUGCGGCUCAACCGCAGGGCUGGCAGAGAUACUGCCGGGCUUGGGACCGGGAGAGGCCGGGGGUACCCCAGGGGUUAGCGGUGAAAUGCGUUGAUCCCUGGGGGACCACCUGUGGCGAAGGCGCCCGGCUGGAACGGGUCCGACGGUGAGGGACGAAGCCGGGGGAGCAAACGGAUUAGAUACCCGGGUAGUCCCGGCUGUAAACUCUGCGGACUA
RNAcentral lists this ribosomal RNA (743 nucleotides) under Methanococcus sp. Dex60a43. RNAcentral describes it as "bacterial SSU rRNA". It matches the Rfam family "Archaeal small subunit ribosomal RNA", at positions 31 to 769 of the family's 1478-position model. The record is from RNAcentral. Lineage: Archaea; Methanobacteriati; Methanobacteriota; Methanococci; Methanococcales; Methanococcaceae.